RNAcentral lists this ribosomal RNA (622 nucleotides) under uncultured bacterium. RNAcentral describes it as "bacterial SSU rRNA". It matches the Rfam family "Bacterial small subunit ribosomal RNA", at positions 338 to 948 of the family's 1533-position model. The record is from RNAcentral.
CCUACGGGAGGCAGCAGUGGGGAAUUUUGGACAAUGGGCGAAAGCCUGAUCCAGCCAUUCCGCGUGAGUGAAGAAGGCCUUCGGGUUGUAAAGCUCUUUCGCAAGGGAAGAAAACUUAGAUACUAAUAUUAUCUGAGGUUGACGGUACCUUGAUAAGAAGCACCGGCUAACUACGUGCCAGCAGCCGCGGUAAUACGUAGGGUGCGAGCGUUAAUCGGAAUUACUGGGCGUAAAGCGUGCGCAGGCGGUUUUGUAAGUCAGAUGUGAAAUCCCCGAGCUCAACUUGGGAACUGCGUUUGAAACUACAAGACUAGAAUAUGUCAGAGGGGGGUAGAAUUCCACGUGUAGCAGUGAAAUGCGUAGAGAUGUGGAGGAAUACCAAUGGCGAAGGCAGCCCCCUGGGAUAAUAUUGACGCUCAUGCACGAAAGCGUGGGGAGCAAACAGGAUUAGAUACCCUGGUAGUCCACGCCCUAAACGAUGUCUACUAGUUGUUGGUGGAGUAAACUCCAUGAGUAACGCAGCUAACGCGUAGAAGUACGACCGCCGUGGGGAGUACGGUCGCAAGAUUAAAACGUUAAGGAAUUGACGNGNGAGAGNGCGAGACGACGACGAGGGAGGAGG